Bubalus bubalis (water buffalo) is the source of this 321-nucleotide long non-coding RNA. RefSeq lists it as uncharacterized. NCBI's taxonomy places the organism in Eukaryota, Metazoa, Chordata, Mammalia, Artiodactyla, Bovidae. The transcript has 3 exons. The record is from RefSeq and is a predicted model, not a curated record.
UAAAUGUCCAUCCUUGUAAUGCAGACCUUUGCUCCUCUCUGAAGAAGGUAUCUCUUCCUGGGACAGAAGAUGCCACAGAAGCAAAAUCAUUGUUGAAACAAACCAAAUGCAAAAUGGAAAGAUUUCAGAAAACAAAGACCUGUCAUACCACAAGGCUGUCUGUGGUUGCUGGAGCCCACAGCAGGUCCAGCAAGGCCAAAGGUGGCUGUGCUGAACCUAGAACUCUUGUCUUCUGAUACAAGCCCUGUGUGCCUCUGGGAGCUCAGUGGUAAAGAAUCUGGCUUUCAGUGCAGGAGACAUGGGUUUGAUCUCUGAUCUGGG